Molecule: ribosomal RNA, 497 nt
Filed under: uncultured bacterium
Lineage: Bacteria
Description: partial 16S ribosomal RNA
Rfam family: Bacterial small subunit ribosomal RNA
Source: RNAcentral
GAUGAACGCUGGCGGCGUGCCUAAUACAUGCAAGUCGAGCGAACGGACGAGAAGCUUGCUUCUCUGAUGUUAGCGGCGGACGGGUGAGUAACACGUGGAUAACCUACCUAUAAGACUGGGAGAACUUCGGGAAACCGGAGCUAAUACCGGCUGAUAUUUUGAACCGCAUGGUUCAAAAGUGAAAGACGGUCUUGCUGUCACUUAUAGAUGAAUCCGCGCUGCAUUAGCUAGUUGGUAAGGUAACGGCUUACCAAGGCAACGAUGCAUAGCCGACCUGAGAGGGUGAUCGGCCACACUGGAACUGAGACACGGUCCAGACUCCUACGGGAGGCAGCAGUAGGGAAUCUUGCGCAAUGGGCGAAAGCCUGACGGAGCAACGCCGCGUGAGUGAUGAAGGUCUUCGGAUCGUAAAACUCUGUUAUUAGGGAAGAACAUAUGUGUAAGUAACUGUGCACAUCUUGACGGUACCUAAUCAGAAAGCCACGGCUAACUACGUG